AAUUAAGUUAUUAAGGGCACACGGUGGAUGCCUUGGUAGAGAGAUACGAUGAAGGACGUGGCUACCUGCGAUAAGCUUCGGGGAGUUGGAAGCAAACUUUGAUCCGAAGAUUUCCGAAUGGGAAAACCUAUUCCGAUGUAAAAUCGGAGUACCCCGACUUUUAAGUCGGGGAGAAAUACCCAGGGAAUUGAAACAUCUUAGUACCUGGAGGAAAAGAAAACAAAAGUGAUUUCCUUAGUAGCGGCGAGCGAAACGGAAACAGCCCAAACUUCGACACUUGUGUCGGAGGGUUGUAGGGCAUCUGAUGAGAUUUAAUUCUCGGAGAGUUACAAAUUUAGUUUAUAGCUGAAGCAUCUGGAAAGAUGCGCCAUAGAAGGUGAUAGCCCUGUAGACGAAAUAAACUAAACUCUCUGUUAGAUGUUCCUGAGUACUGCGGGACUCGAGAAAUCCUGCAGGAAUCCGCCUGGACCACUAGGCAAGGCUAAAUAUUCCUCUCUAACCGAUAGUGAACUAGUACCGUGAGGGAAAGGUGAAAAGAACCCCGAUGAGGGGAGUGAAAUAGAAUCUGAAACCAUGUGCCUACAAGCAGUCGAAGCAAAGCGCAUAUUCGUAUGCGCCAAGUGACGGCGUACCUUUUGCAUUAUGGGCCGGCGAGUUACUGAAUGCAGCAAGGUUAAAGAAUACUCUUCUGUAGCCAUAGCGAAAGCGAGUCCUAAUAGGGCGAUUGAGUUGUGUUCAGUAGACCCGAAGCCGAGUGAUCUACUCAUGGCCAAAGUGAAUCCUGACUAAUCUCGGGAGGAGGCUUGAACCCACUAGGGAUGCAAACCUAGGGGAUGAGCUGUGAAUAGGGGUGAAAGACUAAUCAAACUCGGCGAUAGCUGGUUCUCCCCGAAAUAUAUUUAGGUAUAGCCUCGUAGGAUAAGUAAAGGAGGUAGAGCACUGGCUGGGCUAAGGGCCUUACCGGGUUCCUAACCCCAAUCAAACUCCGAAUACCUUUACUCUUUACCUACGGGAGUCAGACUGUGGGAGAUAAGUUUCACAGUCGAGAGGGAAACAGCCCAGAUCAUCAGCUAAGGUCCCAAAGAACAGGCUAAGUGGAGAAGGUUGUGGAAAUACUGAGACAACCAAGAGGUUGGCUUAGAAGCAGCCAUCCUUUAAAGAGUGCGUAACAGCUCACUGGUCAAGUGUUUCUGCGCCGAAAAUUUAACGGGGCUUAAGCCUGUCACCGAAGCUAUGGACUCCGACUUUUAAGUCGGUUUGGUAGGGGAGCAUUCUCUACGGAUUGAAGCUCUGCUGUAAAACAGGGUGGACUGUAGAGAAGAGAAGAUGCCGGCAUUAGUAGCGUUAAUUCCGACGAAAAAACGGAACACCGUAAGCCCGAGGUUUCUCCGGCAAUGUUAAUCAUCCGGAGGUUAGCCGGGACCUAAGUCGAGGUCGAAAGGCGUAGACGAUGGACAUCCAGUCAAAAUUCUGGAGCCAUCUUGCUUCCAUUUGAGCAAUGGGGUGACGUAGAAAGUAUAAUCAUCCCUGUGAAGGAUAUCAGGGUCUAAGUUUUCCGAUAGUCUCUUCAGGUAAAUCCAGAGAAUAAACUGUUGGAAGAUGAUGGGGAGCUCAAGCUACGGCAAGAGCGAACUGAUUAAAAAUUCUAUCAAGAAAAGCCUCUAGCAAGGAAGAGAGAUGCCCGUACUAUAAACCGACACAGGUGGGCGAGGAGAAUAUCCUAAGGUGUUCGAGUGAACCCUCGUUAAGGAACUCGACAAAUUGACCCCGUAACUUAGGGAUAAGGGGUGCCUCAUUGGAAUUUUAUGACGUAAGUUAUAGAAUUUGAAGAGGCCGCAGUGAAAAGGCUCAAGCGACUGUUUACUAAAAACACAUGUCCCUGCUAACUCGUAAGAGGAUGUAUAGGGACUGACGCGUGCCCGGUGCCGGAAGGUUAAGGCAAGCUGUCAUCUUGUGCAUUUAUGUAUAAGAGAAGCAGUGAACUGAAGCCCUGGUAAACGGCGGCUGUAACUAUAACAGUCCUAAGGUAGCGAAAUUCCUUGUCGGGUAAGUUCCGACGCGCAUGAAUCGCGUAACGAUUUGAGCAUUGUCUCAACGAGGGACUCGGUGAAAUUGAAUUGGGGGUGCAGAUGCCCCUUACCUGUGGCAAGACGGAAAGACCCCGGAACCUUUACUGUAAUUUAGCAUUGGAUUUUAGUUCAAUAUGUAGAGCAUAGGUGGGAGGCUUUGAACUUCGGUCGCUAGGCCGGAGGGAGCCAACAGUGUAAUACCACCCUUAUUGUACCGAAGUUCUAACUCUGAUAACAAGUCGGAGAACAGUGCUUGAUGGGCAGUUUAACUGGGGCGGUUGCCUCCCAAAGAGUAACGGAGGCGUCCAAAGGUUCCCUCAGCACGGUCGGUAAUCGUGCGUAGAGUGCAAAGGCAUAAGGGAGCUUGACUGCGAGACCGACAGGUCAAGCAGGCGCGAAAGCGGGGCUUAGUGAUCCGGUGGUUGUGUGUGGAAACGCCAUCGCUCAACGGCUAAAAGGUACUCCGGGGAUAACAGGCUUAUCUGGUCCGAGAGUCCAUAUCGACGACCAGGUUUGGCACCUCGAUGUCGGCUCAUCGCAUCCUGGGGCUGAAGUAGGUCCCAAGGGUUGGUCUGUUCGUCCAUUAAAGCGGUACGCGAGCUGGGUUUAGACCGUCGUAAGACAGGUCGGUCCUUAUCUGCCACAGGCGUAGGAUAUUUGAAGGAAUCUGUCCUUAGUACGAGAGGACCAGGACAGCCGAACCUCUGGUGCACCAGUUGUUCUGCCAAGAGCAUUGCUGGGUAGCUACGUUCGGUGCGGAUAAGCGCUGAAAGCAUCUAAGUGCGAAGCCCUCCCUGAGAUUAGAUAUCCCUGAAGGCAACUCGAAGAUGACGAGUUUGAUAGAUCAGUGGUGUAAGAGUGGUAACACUUUCAGCUUACUGACACUAAUUGCCGUUCGAUUUUUUUGU
Molecule: ribosomal RNA, 2977 nt
Filed under: Candidatus Omnitrophota bacterium
Lineage: Bacteria; Pseudomonadati; Candidatus Omnitrophota
Description: Candidatus Omnitrophica bacterium 23S ribosomal RNA
Rfam family: Bacterial large subunit ribosomal RNA
Source: RNAcentral